UGUUUACAUUAUUAACUUUUAUUACAUAUAAAGAAAGGGUUUGCUAGACAGAUGAAAUAAUGCAUGUAAAAUGCUUUGCAAAUUGGAAAUCUAGUUCUCAAUGUAAGACAUUAUUAGCUUUACUAUUGUGAAGAUUGAAUUUAGCUAUUUCCUGAUUGUAACAAUGAAGAUACUUAGUUCUUCCUUUGUUGUGAAGAUUAAAUUGUAAUCCCCUGAUUGUAACAAUGAAGGUACUUCCUUUAUUGGGAAGAUUGAAUUGUAAUACACAAUCUAUUUUUAGAUUUUAAUCUACAAAAAGGUGGUAACUCAGUAUUUUAAGUAGAUCUACCCAUUUUAACUAUAAAAAGGUGUUAAGUAACUACAAAAGGUGAACUAACCAAAAAAGGUGUUAAGUAACCCAAAAAGGUAUAAUCUAACCAAAGAAGGUGUGAACAAAAGAUGGGCAGUCCUGGAGAAAAGCGUCUGUUGUGAUUGGUAGAUAUGAAAUUUAGGGGAAGUGACACAAGAGAAAAAAAUCUUUAAAAAGAGGAUCAGAGGCCAGAAGAUGAUAUAUUCGAAUCAAGAUUCCAGUUAGAUGUAAGAACUCUGACUUGGAGUUGGACUGGAGGACAGACACUUGAGGAGAGAUUGGAAGAGGAACUUGACCCUGAAGGAGCGCUCUCAUGCAGGAGACCUCAGACUGCUUUGCUUUUAGAUAGUCACUGUUGGUCUCCCUAAAAAGUGACUAAGUGAAGUUGAAUGCUACGCCCCAGUUUAAACCCAUUUGGAAGGUGUUGUGCAUUGAGUGGUGUCUUAAUAACCUGAAAGAAUUGAUGUAGCUUCUAGAGUGACUCAAGUAUUCCAGUCAUGUUCCAGGAGAAUCUGCCUCAAGAGUGGGCCUUAACAAUGGGGACUCGUGCCAAGAGAGCCACUCUUCAGGCAACCUCACCAGCUGGGAGCAGCAGAGAGCAGAACCUAGAACCAUCUGCAGGAGGCAUGUGGGAAGAUUGUCCGGCAGAGAAAAAACCUUCCUAUUUGUGACUCUAAAAGACUCAAGACUGACAUUGGAGGAUCUUUUGACCUAAUGGUGGUAGAUCAAGAUUGCUGAUUGGCUCUCUAAUCUGUUCAAUAAACAUUUUUUUCUGA
Molecule: long non-coding RNA, 1125 nt
Filed under: Monodelphis domestica (gray short-tailed opossum)
Lineage: Eukaryota; Metazoa; Chordata; Mammalia; Didelphimorphia; Didelphidae
Description: lncRNA (ENSMODG00000033216.2)
Source: RNAcentral